RNAcentral lists this transfer RNA (72 nucleotides) under Buchnera aphidicola (Cinara cuneomaculata). RNAcentral's name for it is "transfer RNA Glutamic acid". It matches the Rfam family "tRNA". From Rfam's summary of the family: Transfer RNA (tRNA) molecules are approximately 80 nucleotides in length. The record is from RNAcentral. RNAcentral also lists the same sequence under 3 other names. Lineage: Bacteria; Pseudomonadati; Pseudomonadota; Gammaproteobacteria; Enterobacterales; Erwiniaceae.
GUCCUCUUCGUCUAGUGGUUAGGACAUCGCCCUUUCACGGCGGCAACAGGGGUUCAAAUCCCCUAGAGGACA